Molecule: non-coding RNA, 681 nt
Organism: Lupinus albus (white lupine)
Lineage: Eukaryota; Viridiplantae; Streptophyta; Magnoliopsida; Fabales; Fabaceae
Source: the annotation of a GenBank genome assembly
GCUCUGCUUCCCUAUGAUCCUUGAUGAAUUUCAAUAUGUUGUAUGUGCACUUACUAUUGCAGAUGCACAUUGGCAAGGGUCUUAAUGAUUCUAGCUCCUCCCAUACAACUUUUAAAUCAGUAAAGAAAGUGGAAAUGCUUCUAUCACAUUGUUUCAUGGAGUGAAACUCUUGGAGUAAAUCAGAGGUUUUGAAAUGGUCAUCCAUGGAGAACCUUUCUUUAAGAGACGACCAUUGUGUUGCAGCUCUCGCAAGCUUCAUAGAUUGGGUCUGAUGGAUUUGGCUCAUGAAUAACCCCAUUCACAAACUUAUACUUGUUCUCUGAAAACAAAGCCCUUCUCAUCGAUCUGCUCCAGGAGUGAUAGUUGCUUCCAUCAAGAGAAUGUGUGACUAAGGCAAAACGCGAGUUUUCUCCAGGAUGAAGGUAGAAGGGGUUUGAUGUAGGACUUUGCAACCCAUCCAUUUCUGAGUUGGUUUGAAUCAAUUUGGCUUCCAUCUUGAGUGAGUUCUUGCAAGAAGGCUUGAGUAGUGCAGUUUUGGUGAUGAAGAAAGAAAUAGCAGUUUUUCGGAUUGCAGAGAUGAUGUAAUUGAUCAACUAUGGUGAUCGAAGGUGAAAAGAAAGAAAAAAGGAAAAUGGCGCAACAGAGCUCUCAGGUUGAGAGCUCUGAUACCAUAUUUGUAAC